ACCCACCCCAUUUGAGUGGAAGCAUGGCCUGAUCACCCAUGGUGUGCCCUUAUUGGCACUUUGGUCUCAGUUUUGAUUUUGAUUUGGCUCGGCUUGUUUGAAAAAAAGGAAAGUGAAAGUGAGUGAAUGCUUGUUUGGGAUGGGCAACAGAUAGACAGUGGUUGCCGUCCGAAGUGAGUGUUGAGCCCUGAGCUGCAGUUCCGUAGGAUACCUCGUACAGCUAAGUGGCGGUUCGUGCUGGUGCCUGGUACCAGCCUGCCUAAGAGGAUCUGAGAUUCCCGCAAGGGAAGUGGCCAGUGUCAGGCGAGGCAAGGAGAGCGCAGCCUGGGAUCACAAAGAAAGCAAGUCAUCUGCAACCUGCUGGAGCCUAAGACCAGAAGGCAGUUUAUUCUAGCAGGCCCGACUUCCGAGACCAUCCUUGGAUGUCACUAGACUGGGAGCUGUACGUGGACGGGAGCAACUUUGUCAACUCACAAGGAGAGAGGUGUGUGGGAUAUGCAGUGGUAACCCUGGAUGCUGUCAUUGAAGCCAAAUCGUUGCCCCAGGGCACUUCAGCCCAGAAGGCCGAACUCAUUGCUUUAAUUCGGGCCUCAGAGCUAAGUGAAGGUGGAGGCCUAUCCAACAUGGACCAAGAAAGCUCGUGAAGUAACCCGUGUGCUUCUCCGAGAUCUCAUCCCUAGGUUUGGACUGCCCUUACAAAUCGGCUCAGACAACCGGCUGGCGUUUGUGGCUGACUUGGUACAGAAGAGAGCAAAGGUGAUCGGGUGUGGAUCAAGGAUUGGAACGUAGCCCCCUUGCGGCCAUGGUGGAAAAGACCCCAGACCAUCAUCUUGACCACUCCUACAGUUGUAAAGGUAGAGGGAAUCCCAGCCUGGAUCCACCACAGCCAUGUAAAACCUGCAGCACCUGAGACCUGGGAAGCAAGACCAAGCCCAGACAACCCUUGCAAAGUGACUCUGAAGAAGACGACAAACCCUUCUCCAGUCACACCCGGAAGCUGACUGGUCCACGCAUGGCCAAAGCAUAAGGAAACUCACCAUGAGACUCAUUUUCCUUAAAUUUUGAACUUGUACAGUAAGGACUUCAACUGACCUUCCUCAGACUGAGGACUGUACCCAGUGUAUACAUCAAGUCACUGAGGUAGGACAAAAGGUUGUUGCAGUCCUAUUAUUUUAUAGUUGUUAUGAGUGUACCGGGACUCUAAAAGGAACUUGUUUGUAUAAUGCUACUCUAUACAAGGUAUGUAGCCCAGGAAGUUACCAGCCUGAUGUGUGUUAUAACCCAUCUGAGCCCCC
This 1295-nucleotide long non-coding RNA is filed under the name Homo sapiens (human). RNAcentral's name for it is "endogenous retrovirus group E member 5". Lineage: Eukaryota; Metazoa; Chordata; Mammalia; Primates; Hominidae. The record is from RNAcentral.